Molecule: ribosomal RNA, 468 nt
Filed under: uncultured bacterium
Lineage: Bacteria
Description: partial 16S ribosomal RNA
Rfam family: Bacterial small subunit ribosomal RNA
Source: RNAcentral
GACGAACGCUGGCGGCGUGCUUAACACAUGCAAGUCGAACGGAAAGGCCCUGCUUUUGUGGGGUGCUCGAGUGGCGAACGGGUGAGUAACACGUGAGUAACCUGCCCUUGACUUUGGGAUAACUUCAGGAAACUGGGGCUAAUACCGGAUAGGAGCUCCUGCUGCAUGGUGGGGGUUGGAAAGUUUCGGCGGUUGGGGAUGGACUCGCGGCUUAUCAGCUUGUUGGUGGGGUAGUGGCUUACCAAGGCUUUGACGGGUAGCCGGCCUGAGAGGGUGACCGGCCACAUUGGGACGGAGAUACGGCCCAGACUCCUACGGGAGGCAGCAGUGGGGAAUAUUGCACAAUGGGCGGAAGCCUGAUGCAGCAACGCCGCGUGCGGGAUGACGGCCUUCGGUUUGUAAACCGCUUCCGCCUGUGACGAAGCGUGAGUGACGGUAAUGGGUAAAGAAGCACCGGCUAACUACGUG